This 119-nucleotide ribosomal RNA is filed under the name Betta splendens (Siamese fighting fish). Lineage: Eukaryota; Metazoa; Chordata; Actinopteri; Anabantiformes; Osphronemidae. The record is from RNAcentral.
CCUUAAGGCCAUACCACCCUGAGCACGCCCAAUCUCAUUUGAUCUCGGAAGCUAAGCAGGGUCGGGCCUGGUUUGUACUUGGAUGGGAGACUGCCUGUGAAUACCAGGUAAUCUAAGCU